GGUGUAAGGUUCCAUAGGCAGCCUGAAGCGCACCUAGUAAAUGGCUAGCAAUGUCUGCUUCAUUAAACGGCUGUCCAUUGUCAUCUGUAGCUUGAAGAGCGUGCGAUAUGAAGUCUUUUCCCGAUGGUGAAUCCAGGCAGACAAUCUUUCUUUGCCUGAUCAUUUCCUCAAACUCUUCCCGCAUCAGCUUUGAUGCUUUAAUGGCGCGACGGAAAGCUGAUCCUGGAACAUCUAAGGAUGAUGUUUCAUUACUUCAUCCAUUUCACCAACGUACUAUCGAAGCACAUCGCCCUUAAGAAUGAACGCCAGGAGUUUACGCAGUGAUUUUGAGUGCUCAGUGUUGAGCUUGUUAUUUGACUUGGGAAAGAGUUUGUCAAAUGCGCUCGGCAACCAAUGCUUGAAAAGCUUAUUCUCGUUGGAGAACAGAAAUUUGUUGCCCUCAGCAUCGCAGAAGAUGGCCACAGGGAAUCCAAUCAAUGAUGUCCUGAAAAUAUUGGAGGAAUAUUUCUUCCUCCUAUCUGCUACAAACUUAUGAAGGCAACCUUGGUUAGCUCUGGAGAAAAAAUCCAAUGUUUCGCCUACAAGAGGCCAGCCUGAUCUUCCUGGCGGUAGCCUUGGCUUUUCAGCAGCUAAGUUGGGUUUUGAAAUUUGAGAUUUUUUUUCUCAAAAUAAACUGGUGAAGAAACAGAUAUAGGAUUGGAAUUAGAAACCAAAGAAGCAGAAGGAGAUGCUGAAAUUCCAUCACCAUGUUUGCCUUUGCUAGCUGUCUUGAGAGUCUUGAGACGGGAAGCAAAGAUUAGAUCAAGAAAGGAAAGCACAGUUACUCAAACUAGUAAUGAAUUGCAUAUUUGAAUCCUUACAUAUACUGAUUUCCAGCUAACAUUGAUAAGAAUCUUUCUGUCGAC
This is a long non-coding RNA of Coffea arabica (coffee), 905 nucleotides long. RefSeq lists it as uncharacterized. NCBI's taxonomy places the organism in Eukaryota, Viridiplantae, Streptophyta, Magnoliopsida, Gentianales, Rubiaceae. The record is from RefSeq and is a predicted model, not a curated record.